AGAGUUUGACCUGGCUCAGAUUGAACGCUGGCGGCAGGCUUAACACAUGCAAGUCGAGCGGGGGAAGGUAGCUUGCUACUGGACCUAGCGGCGGACGGGUGAGUAAUGCUUAGGAAUCUGCCUAUUAGUGGGGGACAACAUCUCGAAAGGGAUGCUAAUACCGCAUACGUCCUACGGGAGAAAGCAGGGGAUCUUCGGACCUUGCGCUAAUAGAUGAGCCUAAGUCGGAUUAGCUAGUUGGUGGGGUAAAGGCCUACCAAGGCGACGAUCUGUAGCGGGUCUGAGAGGAUGAUCCGCCACACUGGGACUGAGACACGGCCCAGACUCCUACGGGAGGCAGCAGUGGGGAAUAUUGGACAAUGGGGGGAACCCUGAUCCAGCCAUGCCGCGUGUGUGAAGAAGGCCUUAUGGUUGUAAAGCACUUUAAGCGAGGAGGAGGCUACUUUAGUUAAUACCUAGAGAUAGUGGACGUUACUCGCAGAAUAAGCACCGGCUAACUCUGUGCCAGCAGCCGCGGUAAUACAGAGGGUGCGAGCGUUAAUCGGAUUUACUGGGCGUAAAGCGUGCGUAGGCGGCUUAUUAAGUCGGAUGUGAAAUCCCCGAGCUUAACUUGGGAAUUGCAUUCGAUACUGGUGAGCUAGAGUAUGGGAGAGGAUGGUAGAAUUCCAGGUGUAGCGGUGAAAUGCGUAGAGAUCUGGAGGAAUACCGAUGGCGAAGGCAGCCAUCUGGCCUAAUACUGACGCUGAGGUACGAAAGCAUGGGGAGCAAACAGGAUUAGAUACCCUGGUAGUCCAUGCCGUAAACGAUGUCUACUAGCCGUUGGGGCCUUUGAGGCUUUAGUGGCGCAGCUAACGCGAUAAGUAGACCGCCUGGGGAGUACGGUCGCAAGACUAAAACUCAAAUGAAUUGACGGGGGCCCGCACAAGCGGUGGAGCAUGUGGUUUAAUUCGAUGCAACGCGAAGAACCUUACCUGGCCUUGACAUACUAGAAACUUUCCAGAGAUGGAUUGGUGCCUUCGGGAAUCUAGAUACAGGUGCUGCA
This 1042-nucleotide ribosomal RNA is filed under the name Acinetobacter baumannii. RNAcentral describes it as "bacterial SSU rRNA". It matches the Rfam family "Bacterial small subunit ribosomal RNA", at positions 8 to 1045 of the family's 1533-position model. The record is from RNAcentral. Lineage: Bacteria; Pseudomonadati; Pseudomonadota; Gammaproteobacteria; Moraxellales; Moraxellaceae.